This 306-nucleotide ribosomal RNA is filed under the name uncultured bacterium. RNAcentral's name for it is "partial 16S ribosomal RNA". It matches the Rfam family "Bacterial small subunit ribosomal RNA", at positions 505 to 807 of the family's 1533-position model. The record is from RNAcentral.
GACAGCAGUAGCCACGGUAAUACAGAGGUCUCAAGCGUUGUUCGGAUUCAUUGGGCGUAAAGGGUGCGUAGGUGGCGGUGUAAGUCUAACGUGAAAUCUCGGGGCUCAACCUCGAAAUUGCGUCGGAUACUGCAUUGCUAGAGGAUUGUAGAGGAGAGUGGAAUUCAUGGUGUAGCAGUGAAAUGCGUAGAUAUCAUGAGGAAGACCAGUUGCGAAGGCGACUCUCUGGGCAAUUCCUGACACUGAGGCACGAAGGCUAGGGGAGCAAACGGGAUUAGAUACCCCCGUAGUCCCUGUCUCUUAUAC